This 301-nucleotide ribosomal RNA is filed under the name uncultured bacterium. Its description in RNAcentral is "partial 16S ribosomal RNA". It matches the Rfam family "Bacterial small subunit ribosomal RNA", at positions 509 to 807 of the family's 1533-position model. The record is from RNAcentral.
CAGCAGCCGCGGUAAUACGAAGGGUGCAAGCGUUAAUCGGAAUUACUGGGCGUAAAGCGUGCGUAGGCGGUGAGUUAAGUCUGCUGUGAAAUCCCCGGGCUCAACCUGGGAAUGGCAAUGGAUACUGGCAAGCUAGAGUGUGUCAGAGGAUGGUGGAAUUCCCGGUGUAGCGGUGAAAUGCGUAGAGAUCGGGAGGAACAUCAGUGGCGAAGGCGGCCAUCUGGGACAACACUGACGCUGAGGCACGAAAGCGUGGGGAGCAAACAGGAUUAGAUACCCCCGUAGUCCCUGUCUCUUAUAC